This 270-nucleotide ribosomal RNA is filed under the name uncultured bacterium. Its description in RNAcentral is "partial 16S ribosomal RNA". It matches the Rfam family "Bacterial small subunit ribosomal RNA", at positions 32 to 277 of the family's 1533-position model. The record is from RNAcentral.
AAUCAACGCUGGCGGCGUGCCUAACACAUGCAAGUCGAACGCGAAAGACCCCUUCGGGGGUAAGUAGAGUGGCGUCCGGGUGAGUAACACGUAGGUAAUCUACCUUCGGGUGGGGGAAUAACUCGCCCGAAAGGCGAGGCUAAUACCGGCAUAAUGCAGCGGNACCUAAUGGUGAUUAGUUGUUAAAGCGGGGGAUCGGUAAGACCUCGCGCCUGAAGAGGAGCCUGCGGCAGAUUAGCUAGUUGGGAGGUAAUGGCUCACCAAGGCUUC